Molecule: non-coding RNA, 30 nt
Filed under: Mus musculus (house mouse)
Lineage: Eukaryota; Metazoa; Chordata; Mammalia; Rodentia; Muridae
Source: RNAcentral
UUCUAGUGGUCAUUAUGCCCUGGGCAUGUU